This is a long non-coding RNA of Canis lupus familiaris (dog), 1146 nucleotides long. RefSeq lists it as uncharacterized. The record is from RefSeq and is a predicted model, not a curated record. Lineage: Eukaryota; Metazoa; Chordata; Mammalia; Carnivora; Canidae. The transcript has 3 exons.
UUUUAGGUGGAUCCUAGCCCUAGCCUUCAAGGUUCUGGUAUCGUUGCGCUGAAACGACCCCUCCUAGCUGUGACCUGUCUCUGAAGCACAUAUCUAUAAGAAUGAUAAAAAGUUGUUUUACACUCUUAAUUUCUAUAAAGUAACCAUAGCAACCAGAACAGGGAAUAAUAUGAAAAGGGGAAGGAGAGCACCGACUUUGAAUCUACGCCUCCUGUGUUCCUUUAGAGAUGUGGCAGGCCAACCAUCUUGGACCUUAUCCCUCCAACGCCUUUACUCUUUUGGUUUGAUUCACUCCAUUUGUUCGAUACUCAUUUGUGAAAUGCCUCCUAUGUCUUGGUGUAUUGGUAGAAAACAGUACAUCUCUCAACCUAUGGGCAUCAUUCCUUGAAGCAUAUGCUCUCUUGACUCACUCUAGUUCCAGCGUGGUGCUAAAACGGACUGUGUUUCUCCCCUGAGUCAAACUGAGCACCCAAAGAACUAACUGAGAGACACCCUGCAACGUUUUAGAACAGAAAAUAUGGGACGCAAGUCAUAUUUCACAUCAAACUGCCUUUUAUCAGCUGUGAUUCCUGAAAUACGUUACUUAACCUCACUUGGUCUCAGGGUCUCCACAGAUAAACCAGGAGUGAUAACUUUUUCUCAUGAAGAUGAAGGGAGAAUUAGAUGAGAGCAUCUGUGCAAUGGGUAUAAUUUGGUUCCUAGCGUAUGUCAAGCACUCAGCACCUGCUCGGGAUGAUGACGGCCGUCCUUCUUCAUGUGCAACUUCCCCUGGGCCCUCAAGGUCUUUCUUCUCACCUGCUUUGCUGCAUGAGAGGCCUCACCCAAAGUGAAGAAAUCGGAAGGCAAUGAGAGGCUAAGGAUCUCACAGCUUAGUUGGUCUAAGAAUCUCUCAGGAGUUCUAAAAUACUCUAGGAUGCUUGAAGAUUACAUUUUGGUAAGUUUGGCAGGGGUUCUAGAGUCUGAAUGGUUCACAAGCACCCAGGGGUUUUCCAUGGAAGGGCAGGGGCACACAAUGCUCGGAUAAACACUGCCACUAAGAAAGAACACAAGAUUACCCUAAACCCCAUUUGAAGCUGGAGAUGUGGAAUCAUGGCAUUGAUGGCCGGCAGCAAAAAUGUGAAGGUUUCCUUAAAACUGAGGAUUGAG